GUGUUGAAGAAUGGGGCAAAACACUAUUCUGCCUACUAGAUGGAGGGGGAGGGGGAGGGGCAGGGGUAUUCACUGCCUUUGGUGAGUUAACUAUGAAUGGUGGUGCUAAAGACGCGGAAAGUGGUAGAGCAGAGGACCUUGUAGCUAUAUGAUGAAAUGAAGUGGGUGGUGGAGGAGGUGGAGGAGGUGGAGGAGGUAUUUCAUUUGCCUGGCGGGGUGAUGGUAAAUAUGGAGAUGGAGGCUUUGUGGGCAAGGGGGGAAGUGGUACUCCAAGUUGUGCAUCACUAUGUGAUGG
RNAcentral lists this unclassified non-coding RNA (295 nucleotides) under Hevea brasiliensis (rubber tree). Lineage: Eukaryota; Viridiplantae; Streptophyta; Magnoliopsida; Malpighiales; Euphorbiaceae. The record is from RNAcentral.